GGCCUGUGGCUCAGCGGUAAAGCACUCCUCUUGCAUGUGUGAGGCCCUGGGUUCAAUCCUCAGCACCA
This 68-nucleotide transfer RNA is filed under the name Marmota monax (woodchuck). RNAcentral describes it as "tRNA.Ala". The record is from RNAcentral. Lineage: Eukaryota; Metazoa; Chordata; Mammalia; Rodentia; Sciuridae.